ACGGACACCGAACACGACACGGAC
Molecule: microRNA, 24 nt
Filed under: Glycine max (soybean)
Lineage: Eukaryota; Viridiplantae; Streptophyta; Magnoliopsida; Fabales; Fabaceae
Description: gma-miR4403
Source: miRBase by way of RNAcentral